RNAcentral lists this ribosomal RNA (601 nucleotides) under Melampsora laricis-populina. Its description in RNAcentral is "Melampsora larici-populina partial large subunit ribosomal RNA". It matches the Rfam family "Eukaryotic large subunit ribosomal RNA", at positions 47 to 626 of the family's 3401-position model. Lineage: Eukaryota; Fungi; Basidiomycota; Pucciniomycetes; Pucciniales; Melampsoraceae. The record is from RNAcentral.
CAAAAAGCGGAAAAGAAAAUAACUAUGAUUCCCUUAGUAACGGCGAGUGAACAGGGAAAAGCCCAAAUUUGUAAUCUGGCACUUUUUACAAGUGUCCGAGUUGUAAUUUGUAGAACUGUUAUCCGCGCUGGACCAUGUACAAGUCUGUUGAAAAGCAGCAUCAUUGAAGGUGAAAAUCCUGUAGAUGAUAUGGACUACCAGUGCAUUUGUGAUACGGUUUCUAAGAGUCGAGUUGUUUGGGAAUGCAGCUCAAAGUGGGUGGUAAAUUCCAUCUAAGGCUAAAUAUAAGUGAGAGACCGAUAGCAAACAAGUACCGUGAGGGAAAGAUGAAAAGAACUUUGAAAAUAGAGUUAACAGUACGUGAAAUUGCUGAAAGGGAAACGUUUGAAGUUAGUUUUGUAUUCGUUGGAUCAGCUUCGCAAGGAGUGUAUUCUGAUGAUAAGCAAGUCAACAUCAAUCUAUGAGUGUCGGAGAAGGGUUUUGAGAAUGUAGCAAUUUUUAUUAAUUGUGUUAUAGCUUGAGACUUGGAUACGAUGCUUUGGAUUGAGGAACGCGUAGUAAGCUUUGAGCGGAUUCGAAAGGAUCUCCUUACUAUGGAUGU